This 516-nucleotide ribosomal RNA is filed under the name uncultured bacterium. RNAcentral's name for it is "bacterial SSU rRNA". It matches the Rfam family "Bacterial small subunit ribosomal RNA", at positions 355 to 887 of the family's 1533-position model. The record is from RNAcentral.
UGGGGAAUAUUGGACAAUGGGCGCAAGCCUGAUCCAGCAAUGCCGCGUGGGUGAAGAAGGUCUUCGGAUUGUAAAGCCCUUUCGACGGGGACGAUGAUGACGGUACCCGUAGAAGAAGCCCCGGCUAACUUCGUGCCAGCAGCCGCGGUAAUACGAAGGGGGCUAGCGUUGCUCGGAAUGACUGGGCGUAAAGGGCGCGUAGGCGGCUUGCACAGUCAGGCGUGAAAUUCCUGGGCUCAACCUGGGGACUGCGCUUGAGACGUGUGGGCUUGAGUGAGGAAGAGGGUCGUGGAAUUCCCAGUGUAGAGGUGAAAUUCGUAGAUAUUGGGAAGAACACCGGUGGCGAAGGCGGCGACCUGGUCCUUGACUGAACGCUGAGGCGCGAAAGCGUGGGGAGCAAACAGGAUUAGAUACCCUGGUAGUCCACGCCGUAAACGAUGUGCGCUGGAUGUUGGGCGGCCUAGCCGUUCAGUGUCGUAGCUAACGCGAUAAGCGCACCGCCUGGGGAGUACGGCC